GAUGAAGAACGUAGCGAAAUGCGAUAAGUAGUGUGAAAUGCAGAAUUCAGUGAAUCAUCGAAUCUUUGAACGCACAUUGCGCCUCCUGGUAUUCCGGGAGGCAUGCCUGUUCGAGCGUCAUUAAAAUCACUCAAGCUUAGGUUUACCUAUUGCUUGGUCUUGGAGAUGGAAGCCAAUUUAUUGGAAUCCUCUUCGAAAUUCAAUGGCGAAGACCCUUGCUCUCCCAAGUGUAGUAAUAACUUAUGUCACUGAAGGAAGCGAGAAAUCUUCUGCCGUAACCCCCAUAUUUUCUAUGAUUGACCUCGGAUCAGGUAGGGAUACCCGCUGAACUUAAGCAUAUCAAUAAGCGGAGGA
This 354-nucleotide unclassified non-coding RNA is filed under the name soil metagenome. Its description in RNAcentral is "partial contains 5.8S ribosomal RNA, internal transcribed spacer 2, and large subunit ribosomal RNA". The stretch from base 1 to 120 matches the Rfam family "5.8S ribosomal RNA", at positions 35 to 154 of the family's 154-position model. The record is from RNAcentral.